RNAcentral lists this transfer RNA (77 nucleotides) under Pseudomonadales bacterium. RNAcentral describes it as "tRNA-Pro". It matches the Rfam family "tRNA". Rfam says of the family: Transfer RNA (tRNA) molecules are approximately 80 nucleotides in length. Their secondary structure includes four short double-helical elements and three loops (D, anti-codon, and T loops). RNAcentral also lists the same sequence under 1 other name. Lineage: Bacteria; Pseudomonadati; Pseudomonadota; Gammaproteobacteria; Pseudomonadales. The record is from RNAcentral.
CGGGGUGUAGCUCAGCCUGGUAGAGCACUGUCUUCGGGAGGCAGGGGUCGCGCGUUCAAAUCGCGCCAUCCCGACCA